RNAcentral lists this small nucleolar RNA (96 nucleotides) under Oryza longistaminata (longstamen rice). Its description in RNAcentral is "snoRNA snoZ157". It matches the Rfam family "Small nucleolar RNA Z157/R69/R10". From Rfam's summary of the family: Z157, R69 and R10 are members of the C/D class of snoRNA which contain the C (UGAUGA) and D (CUGA) box motifs. Most of the members of the box C/D family function in directing site-specific 2'-O-methylation of substrate RNAs. Lineage: Eukaryota; Viridiplantae; Streptophyta; Magnoliopsida; Poales; Poaceae. The record is from RNAcentral.
GUUGGAGCGGUGAUGAGCAUAUUUUUGUGGACUAGAGUUUCUGAUACUACUUCUGUAGUAUUUGAAGACCAAACCCUUGGCUGUCUGAGCUCCUCA